Strigops habroptila (Kakapo) is the source of this 1561-nucleotide long non-coding RNA. The record is from Ensembl. Lineage: Eukaryota; Metazoa; Chordata; Aves; Psittaciformes; Psittacidae.
UUUCAUAUGAAUAUAAUACAGAUGUGGAAAAUACAUUAAGUGAUCCAGAAGCUCCAGAAGAUAGAGUGCACGGCAAUUAUAAUGAAGACCAUGAACCAAAACAUGAAGAGCAGACUGAGGCUCAAGAUACAGCUGUCGACAACCUUCUGGAGGAUGUGAAUGAAGCCACAGAGCCAGAUGAAAUAUCAGAAGAUGUUGAUAUUGGUAAAGACCUGUCAGUAGAAAGUGAGCAUACAGAAGAUCUUGUGACCACUGAACCAGAGGAAUCAGAAGUUCCUGUUAAAGCUGAGGAUUAUUCAAAUGACAAUCUAGUGGAUACUUAAAGCUUCAAAAAGAAAAGUCCCUACAUCAGGAGGACCAGCCCUAACCAUACGCUACAAAAGGGGAGCAGAUGGUUGUAAUAGAUCUUAUGACGUAAUUACCGAGCAGUUCAGGGUUUGGGGAAUGAACACUAAGAUACUGUAAAUGGGUUUUAGCCAACUGUCAUUUUAGUAAGUUUUUUUUAACACUUGGAUGUUUAAUUUACAUUCCUGUCUGAUUUCUCCCCUCUGCCCCCUUGGUCAAGUUUAGUGAAUUCAUUAUUUUUCUUCUGUGUUUGUAAUGGAGUUGCAACUUUGAGCUACAUUUCAGAUGUGCUGUUCAAGCAAUUGUUAAUAUUCUAUUUAUAACGCGACAGCAAGUACAUUUUUUCAGAUUUUAGUAUAUAUCUUUUGUUGUGGAUUCAUACAGUAUGUACAGAGCAGUUUGGUCCCAUGAAACACAUAUUAUGAAUUUUUAGAUGUUUUAUAACUGCUGAUAUAGCAUACAGCCUGACUGCAUUUUAUUGAAAACACUAAUCAGGCGCCCACUAUGCUGUGAAAUUUGACUUGUAUCUCUUUGCACUGAUGUUAUGUCAACAGUUACACUACAUGAAUUUCAGGUAUUUUUAAAAUAGUCUAACAAGGUACAAAAAUGUGUAUGUUUAAUUCAUGCUAGUAAAAAGGCAGUUUACUAGAUUACUUUUUUCAGAAAACUUUUGUGUGUGAAUUCAAACUUUUUAUUUAUUCACAUCUGAUUUUUAAAGCAAAAAUAUCUAGAAACUAUGUAAUAGCUUGGCAGGGAGUCAGUGUACAUUGCAGUGAAACUGAGUUGCUGGAAUCAGGUUGAGUUCAGUAAAAUAAUAAAAAUAAUAAGAAAUAAUGCUGAAUUUAGUAAGCUGUAUAUUCAGUGAAUUAAUUUAAGUCGAAUUUGCUUAAAUACUUGACUUGAAAAUUUUAUUUAAAAAAAUUGGAAAUUCAACCAUAAGAAAAUAGGAUAUCUAAAUUUAAGACCUAAAAUCAUAAAUGCUCUUGUAAAUAAUCUGUCUGAAAUUUAGACUUCAAGUGAUUUAGAAUUUUAAUAUAACAGGUGUACUUUUUACCUGUUCUGUGCUGCUGUUCCACAAUUACGAAGACUUUUUUUUUUGUUGCCAUUUUGCAUGUGUUUCUUUUUGGCUCAGGAAUGAUUGCUAUGAUUUUAGAAAAUUGCUAAGCCUGAAAUGGGAGGUUAGAAGAAAUAAGAUAAAUUUUGAAGGAAAAAAAAA